CCCUUAGAUGAUUUGGGCUGCACGCGCGCUACACUGACCCUAACAAUGAGCAACUGUCUGGCCUGAGAUGGCUGGGUAGCCUUUUCAACCCAUGUCAUGAUUGGGCUAGAUUUUUGUAAGUCUUGAUCUCUAACGAGGAAUCCCUAGUAUGCGUGAAUCAUCAAUCCAUGCAGAUUAUGUCCCUGCCCUUUGUACACACCGCCCGUCGCUCCUACUGAUUGGGUGAUCCGGUGAGCUGUUCGGCCAUAGCAAUGUUUCUCGAGCAGGGCAAUGAAUGUUUCGCAAACCUUGCCACUUAGAGGAAGGAGAAGUCGUAACA
Molecule: ribosomal RNA, 319 nt
Filed under: uncultured eukaryote
Lineage: Eukaryota
Description: partial 18S ribosomal RNA
Rfam family: Eukaryotic small subunit ribosomal RNA
Source: RNAcentral